GAUAAUCAAAUCUAGUCCAAGGAAUGGUGGAGGCAUAUUUUAUGAAAUUUUAGUAGGCAUAAGCAUAAACAACUUACAUUCUGAAUAGCUUCAUCAGACUAUCAUUUAAAGGGUUCCUAAGAACAUAUUUCUCAGAAUGAAGAAAGUAAUGAGGACCACUGAAGACAGGGAGGCGUGGAGACAGCUGUCUUAUCGACACGCAUGAUGAGUUGCGAUAAAGGAUAUUAUUUAUUAUUUCAUGUUUCUAUUUCUUCAAUAAAAUCAAUUGUUCUGAAAA
Long non-coding RNA from Harmonia axyridis, 277 nucleotides. RefSeq lists it as uncharacterized. The record is from RefSeq and is a predicted model, not a curated record. NCBI's taxonomy places the organism in Eukaryota, Metazoa, Arthropoda, Insecta, Coleoptera, Coccinellidae. The transcript is spliced from 2 exons.